Non-coding RNA from Paramuricea clavata, 214 nucleotides. The record is from the annotation of a GenBank genome assembly. NCBI's taxonomy places the organism in Eukaryota, Metazoa, Cnidaria, Anthozoa, Malacalcyonacea, Plexauridae.
CUAUAUUAUAAAACAAAUAUAAAACAUUUUUUCCGUAUUGAUGUAUAGUUAUAUCAACACUCGUGGAAGUUGGGAAAACUCGAAAUUGUGUGAAAACACUCCGCCCUUCGGGCGUCGUGUUUCCACACAAUUUCUCGUUUUCCCAAUUUCCACUCGUGUUGAUACAACUGUAUAUCAACACGGAAAAUGUUUUAUAUUUGUUAAAUAGAGAAUA